CUCUCUACACCCCCAUGCUCGAUACGGUGAGUCAUCGGCUCUCCCGAGUCGGCUCACCAUCGCGGGCCUAUAAAUAGCCCUCCCCCUCGCUCUAGCACCCCUCAGAUACCUUCGCCGCAACCACUAGCACCUCCCUAGCCACCCCAACAAGCUAGCAGAGCCCCCGUGCUCGAGAUCAACCGAGGCCCCUCCUCCUCCGAGCUCCGGUCGAUCUUCGGCUACAUGACGACUCCUACGU
RNAcentral lists this long non-coding RNA (238 nucleotides) under Hordeum vulgare. Its description in RNAcentral is "long non-coding RNA (HVUL_LNC012280)". The record is from RNAcentral. Lineage: Eukaryota; Viridiplantae; Streptophyta; Magnoliopsida; Poales; Poaceae.